This 249-nucleotide ribosomal RNA is filed under the name uncultured bacterium. RNAcentral describes it as "partial 16S ribosomal RNA". It matches the Rfam family "Bacterial small subunit ribosomal RNA", at positions 524 to 773 of the family's 1533-position model. The record is from RNAcentral.
UACAGAGGGUGCAAGCGUUGUUCGGAAUUAUUGGGCGUAAAGCGCGUGUAGGCGGCUUUGCAAGUCGGGUGUGAAAUCCCUCAGCUCAACUGAGGAAGUGCGCCCGAAACUGCAGAGCUUGAGUACCGGAGAGGAUGGCGGAAUUCCCCAAGUAGAGGUGAAAUUCGUAGAUAUGGGGAGGAACACCGGUGGCGAAGGCGGCCAUCUGGACGGAUACUGACGCUGAGACGCGAAAGCGUGGGAGCAACA